This 643-nucleotide ribosomal RNA is filed under the name uncultured bacterium. RNAcentral's name for it is "bacterial SSU rRNA". It matches the Rfam family "Bacterial small subunit ribosomal RNA", at positions 232 to 885 of the family's 1533-position model. The record is from RNAcentral.
CGCGGCCUAUCAGCUUGUUGGUGAGGUAAUGGCUUACCAAGGCGAUGACGGGUAGCCGGCCUGAGAGGGUGACCGGCCACACUGGGACUGAGACACGGCCCAGACUCCUACGGGAGGCAGCAGUGGGGAAUAUUGCACAAUGGGCGCAAGCCUGACGCAGCGACGCCGCGUGAGGGAUGACGGCCUUCGGGUUGUAAACCUCUUUCAGUAGGGAAGAAGCGAAAGUGAUGGUACCUGCAGAAGAAGCGCCGGCUAACUACGUGCCAGCAGCCGCGGUAAUACGUAGGGCGCAAGCGUUAUCCGGAAUUAUUGGGCGUAAAGAGCUCGUAGGCGGUUUGUCGCGUCUGCCGUGAAAGUCCGGGGCUCAACUCCGGAUCUGCGGUGGGUACGGGCAGACUAGAGUGAUGUAGGGGAGACUGGAAUUCCUGGUGUAGCGGUGAAAUGCGCAGAUAUCAGGAGGAACACCGAUGGCGAAGGCAGGUCUCUGGGCAUUAACUGACGCUGAGGAGCGAAAGCAUGGGGAGCGAACAGGAUUAGAUACCCUGGUAGUCCAUGCCGUAAACGUUGGGCACUAGGUGUGGGGGACAUUCCACGUUUUCCGCGCCGUAGCUAACGCAUUAAGUGCCCCGCCUGGGGAGUACGG